AACGAACGCCGGCGGCAUGCUUAACACAUGCAAGUUGAACGCAGGAUAGGACUUCGGUUCUAUUGCUGAGUAGCAAACGGGUGAGUAACGCGUGGGAAUCUACCUUUUUGUGGGGGAUAACUGAGGGAAACUUCAGCUAAUACCGCAUAAGCUCUACGGAGGAAAGGCUUCGGCCGCAAGAAGAGGAGCCCGCGUCAGAUUAGGUAGUUGGUAGGGUAAAAGCCUACCAAGCCAAUGAUCUGUAGCUGGUCUGAGAGGAUGAUCAGCCACACUGGGACUGAGACACGGCCCAGACUCCUACGGGAGGCAGCAGUGGGGAAUAUUGGACAAUGGGGGAAACCCUGAUCCAGCAAUGCCGCGUGAAUGAAGAAGGCCUUAGGGUUGUAAAGUUCUUUCACCUGUGAAGAUUAUGACGGUAGCAGGAGAAGAAGCCCCGGCUAAUUCCGUGCCAGCAGCCGCGGUAA
This 464-nucleotide ribosomal RNA is filed under the name uncultured bacterium. RNAcentral's name for it is "partial 16S ribosomal RNA". It matches the Rfam family "Bacterial small subunit ribosomal RNA", at positions 29 to 523 of the family's 1533-position model. The record is from RNAcentral.